GAUCUAUCAGUAAAAGUUACCUUCGAUGGGAAGUUUUACUUAAUCUAAUCUAUACAAGACAAUUUAUAAUCCAUGCCUCGCCUACACCCCAUACAUUAAAUAAUAGUUUCCAUUCCAUGCCAUGCCCAGACCCAUGAGUUCAUGAAAUAAUAAAUGAUGUGGUGUCUCAAUAUGGAUCUAUCCCCUGAAAUUCAGCACUUUAAUAUAAAACUCACAUAUCUAGUUAAUUAUUUGCUAUGACACACUGAUCAACUUGGACUUGUGUGAUACAUAUAUGUUUCUUAUCAGAUUUAAUGAAGGAAGUUUUGGUGCAUUUUAACCAGUAAUAAGGCUACAAAAGUAUCAUCAGGUGUAUUCUAACCAUUGGUAUUUUUCCUGGCAACAUUUCUUUUCUAGUCUGUGAUAAAUUAUAAAUAAAAAAAAAUGUUUGUAAUGUUUCAGUUAUUAACAAGUAGAACCAUGCCAACCAGUUUUGAUGAUGUACCAGAAUGGCUCAAGGAUCAUACUUAUACUAUUUCUACUCUCUGGGCAGACAUUAAUAAUAUUGGCAUCCAUUCAAUAUUUAUUUUAUGUUUGGAAAUGCAAGAAAAAGGCAUGCAUUCCUGACAAGUCAAUGAUUGGUUGCACCUCUUAAAGAUAAAUUUCUGUUAUGAGAAAAGAUGAGAUUCUUGGACUCCUGCAUAGCACCACCAGAAAGGAAAAUCCCAUCAUGUUGCAAAAUAAAAGUCUUGGACCAAUUUUAAUUUAAGAUAUAUAUAUAUUAUACUGUAAGCUCUAUACAUAUUUAUGUAUAUCCUGUCAUUCAGCCAACAGGUUUGGAAUUAGUAUUUCUUUAAAUCUGUUUGAUAUUGUACUUGAAAACUAUUAAUCUGAGCCCCAUUAAAACAAUAGGGAGUGCAGUGAAUGAGUGGUAAAGCACUUGGCUUCUGAACUGAGGGUUCCUGGGUUCGAUUAAGACUGGGAUUUUCAAUUUCAGAAUUCAAAAGGCUAGGGAUACAUGGCAAUAGUAAGGAAUAAGUAAAGGCAGUUUGGGGAUCCAUGGCUGAAUGGUUAAGUCAUGGGUUUGAAUCUCUGAAGACUCAGAUUUAAAUUUUUUAGUCCACCUAACUCUACUGGGUAGCUGACUUUCGUUUUGGAAAGUAAAGAUGGUUGGUUGUUGUGCUGGCCACAUGAUGCACUGGCCAAAGAAUCAAAUGACCUUAACAUCAUCUGCCCUAUAGAUUGUGAGGUCUGAAAUGGGAUUUUUUUUCAAAAGGUGGUUGGUUGUUGUGCAUGGUACAUGACACCCUCGCUAACCAUGGGGCACAGAAACUGAUAAACUUUAUCAUCUACCCCAUAGAUUGCAAGAUAUGUAAGGGAAAUUUUACUUUUUAAAAAUUAAAAUAAGAAUCUAACAAAAGUAAACAUAUAAAAUAUGGUGCAUUCUCCUUAAAACUAAAACCUGGUGCGAAGGUUUAAAAUGUUAGCAUAAAAAAGCAACAUCAUAUAUUCUUAAUUCCCUUUGCAAAACUUACUGACAAGAACAUGCAUGUUGUUCCCUCAUAAGUUUCUUGACAGAGAAAAUCUUGGUUAUAUUAGAUUUGAAUUAAGCAAAUUAAGAAAACAAUUAUAAUCAUUAUUUCAAAUGGUUGUAUCUAAACCUUAUGAAUUAUUUUUCAGUUAUAAGUAUAUUGAGAUGAAUGGAUAAUCAUGAAAUAGUUAAAUAAUUGCUGCUAUCAUUCCAUUGACUAAAGAACCAUACAAAUUAUUUUUUUUUUUAAUUAAUUUCAAAAUGAUUUUUUUCAAGCAUAGAGUGCACAUAGAUCUUGAGUGAAAAUAUUUUUUUUAUUUGACUAAUGCUUCAAUUUUAUUGUAUCAUAUUAGUUUUUAAUUUUUAUUACCCAGAAUAUUUCAAAAAUGAGUACACUAUUUUCAUGUAAUAAUGUAACUUGGUAUUCACACAAUGCUCAAAAUACACUAUAAUCUUUAGGCCAUACAGAUUUGUAUAAAUUAACUUGUUUAAAUACAUUGUAAAUGUAUAUUGUUUGGAUAAGAAUAAAGUUUUUCUGUAGACAAUUAUGAUUCAGGAUUUGUUGAUGCUCCUGCUUAAU
Molecule: long non-coding RNA, 2090 nt
Organism: Biomphalaria glabrata
Lineage: Eukaryota; Metazoa; Mollusca; Gastropoda; Planorbidae
Exons: 3
Source: RefSeq, a predicted model, not a curated record